AGACGGAGGGGGCUAGCGUUGUUCGGAAUUACUGGGCGUAAAGCGCGCGUAGGCGGUGGUCGAAGUUGGGCGUGAAAGCCCGGGGCUCAACCCCGGAAUUGCGCUCAAAACUGGAUCACUAGAGACCGGGAGAGGGUAGUGGAAUUCCCAGUGUAGAGGUGAAAUUCGUAGAUAUUUGGAAGAACACCAGUGGCGAAGGCGGCUACCUGGACCGGUACUGACGCUGAGGUGCGAAAGCGUGGGGAGCAAACAGGAUUAGAAACCCGGGUAGUCC
RNAcentral lists this ribosomal RNA (274 nucleotides) under uncultured bacterium. RNAcentral's name for it is "partial 16S ribosomal RNA". It matches the Rfam family "Bacterial small subunit ribosomal RNA", at positions 523 to 796 of the family's 1533-position model. The record is from RNAcentral.